Molecule: unclassified non-coding RNA, 325 nt
Filed under: Hevea brasiliensis (rubber tree)
Lineage: Eukaryota; Viridiplantae; Streptophyta; Magnoliopsida; Malpighiales; Euphorbiaceae
Source: RNAcentral
GCCCUAUUCUAGCCAAACCCACAAUAUAAAACCCAGCCCAGAAAACAAAUCACAGGAGUCUUGCUCAAGCAAAACCCCUAAUCCUAUAAAGAGCUGCCACUCAUGGAUGUUGCCAGAGAUGAAACCCAUACAGAGCCACUAUUCUUGGCUGUUACUGGAGAUGGAAUGAAUUAGCAGGCUGACACCAUGACACUACCUCAACAAGCAGGCCAACACCUGCUGGCCAAACGUAUUGCCUUGGAUAUCAAACCAACUAGGAGCUAGACCACUGAAGAGAUAUCACCACCACAAUAGUCGUAGGAGGGGGAGAUGGUAGAGUUCAUGG